RNAcentral lists this ribosomal RNA (154 nucleotides) under uncultured bacterium. RNAcentral's name for it is "partial 16S rRNA". The record is from RNAcentral.
ACCGGGAGGCAGCAGAGGGAAUUUUCCGCAAUGGGCGCAAGCCUGACGGAGCAACGCCGCGUGAGCGAGGACGGCCUCUGGAACCGGAGUAGUUAGCCGGUGCUUUCUCCUUCGGUAGCGUCAAACGGAAGAGUUGUUCGCUCUCCCGUCAUUC